This 231-nucleotide ribosomal RNA is filed under the name uncultured bacterium. RNAcentral describes it as "partial 16S ribosomal RNA". It matches the Rfam family "Bacterial small subunit ribosomal RNA", at positions 109 to 334 of the family's 1533-position model. The record is from RNAcentral.
AGUAACACGUGGGUAACCUGCCCCGAUGAUUGGGACAACCCGAGGAAACUCGGGCUAAUACCGAAUGUGCCCUCUGGCCAUAAGGCCGCUGGGGAAAGGAAGCUUCGGCCUCCGCAUCGGGAUGGGCCCGCGGCCCAUUAGCUUGUUGGUGAGGUAACGGCUCACCAAGGCUACGAUGGGUAGCUGGUCUGAGAGGACGAUCAGCCACAUUGGGACUGAGACACGGCCCAG